Molecule: ribosomal RNA, 1434 nt
Filed under: uncultured organism
Description: SSU rRNA
Rfam family: Bacterial small subunit ribosomal RNA
Source: RNAcentral
GCUAGCUACAGGCUUAACACAUGCAAGUCGAGGGGCAGCAUCAUCAAAGCUUGCUUUGAUGGAUGGCGACCGGCGCACGGGUGAGUAACACGUAUCCAACCUGCCGACAACACUGGGAUAGCCUUUCGAAAGAAAGAUUAAUACCGGAUGGCAUAAUUAUUCCGCAUGGGAUAAUUAUUAAAGAAUUUCGGUUGUCGAUGGGGAUGCGUUCCAUUAGGCAGUUGGCGGGGUAACGGCCCACCAAACCUACGAUGGAUAGGGGUUCUGAGAGGAAGGUCCCCCACAUUGGAACUGAGACACGGUCCAAACUCCUACGGGAGGCAGCAGUGAGGAAUAUUGGUCAAUGGACGAGAGUCUGAACCAGCCAAGUAGCGUGAAGGAUGACUGCCCUAUGGGUUGUAAACUUCUUUUAUACGGGAAUAAAGUGAGCCACGUGUGGCUUUUUGUAUGUACCGUAUGAAUAAGGAUCGGCUAACUCCGUGCCAGCAGCCGCGGUAAUACGGAGGAUCCGAGCGUUAUCCGGAUUUAUUGGGUUUAAAGGGAGCGUAGGCGGGUUGUUAAGUCAGUUGUGAAAGUUUGCGGCUCAACCGUAAAAUUGCAGUUGAUACUGGCGACCUUGAGUGCAACAGAGGUAGGCGGAAUUCGUGGUGUAGCGGUGGAAUGCUUAGAUAUCACGAAGAACUCCGAUUGCGAGGGGCAGCUUACUGGAUUGUAACUGACGCUGAUGCUCGAAAGUGUGGGUAUCAAACAGGAUUAGAUACCCUGGUAGUCCACACAGUAAACGAUGAAUACUCGCUGUUGGCGAUAUACAGUCAGCGGCCAAGCGAAAGCAUUAAGUAUUCCACCUGGGGAGUACGCCGGCAACGGUGAAACUCAAAGGAAUUGGCGGGGGCCCGCACAAGCGGAGGAACAUGUGGUUUAAUUCGAUGAUACGCGAGGAACCUUACCCGGGCUUAAAUUGCAACUGACGGAACCGGAAACGGUUCUUUCUUCGGACAGUUGUGAAGGUGCUGCAUGGUUGUCGUCAGCUCGUGCCGUGAGGUGUCGGCUUAAGUGCCAUAACGAGCGCAACCCUUACGGGUAGUUACCAUCAGGUUAUGCUGGGGACUCUACCCGGACUGCCGUCGUAAGAUGUGAGGAAGGUGGGGAUGACGUCAAAUCAGCACGGCCCUUACGUCCGGGGCUACACACGUGUUACAAUGGGGGGUACAGAAGGCAGCUACACGGCGACGUGGUGCUAAUCCCAAAAGCCUCUCUCAGUUCGGAUUGGAGUCUGCAACCCGACUCCAUGAAGCUGGAUUCGCUAGUAAUCGCGCAUCAGCCACGGCGCGGUGAAUACGUUCCCGGGCCUUGUACACACCGCCCGUCAAGCCAUGAAAGCCGGGGGUACCUGAAGUACGUAACCGCGAGGAGCGUCCUAGGGUAAAACUGGUG